This 492-nucleotide ribosomal RNA is filed under the name uncultured bacterium. RNAcentral's name for it is "partial 16S ribosomal RNA". It matches the Rfam family "Bacterial small subunit ribosomal RNA", at positions 30 to 507 of the family's 1533-position model. The record is from RNAcentral.
AUUGAACGCUGGCGGUAGGCCUAACACAUGCAAGUCGAACGGCAGCACAGUAAGAGCUUGCUCUUACGGGUGGCGAGUGGCGGACGGGUGAGGAAUACAUCGGAAUCUACUUUUUCGUGGGGGAUAACGUAGGGAAACUUACGCUAAUACCGCAUACGACCUACGGGUGAAAGCAGGGGAUCUUCGGACCUUGCGCGAUUGAAUGAGCCGAUGUCGGAUUAGCUAGUUGGCGGGGUAAAGGCCCACCAAGGCGACGAUCCGUAGCUGGUCUGAGAGGAUGAUCAGCCACACUGGGACUGAGACACGGUCCAGACUCCUACGGGAGGCAGCAGUGGGGAAUAUUGGACAAUGGGCGCAAGCCUGAUCCAGCCAUACCGCGUGGGUGAAGAAGGCCUUCGGGUUGUAAAGCCCUUUUGUUGGGAAAGAAAAGCAGCAGGUUAAUACCCCGCUGUUCUGACGGUACCCAAAGAAUAAGCACCGGCUAACUUCGUG